GCUUAUCACCAUUCCAGUUUGAAUAUACCCGAUCUCGUCUGAUCUCGGAAGUCAAGCAAUCUCGGGCUUGGUUAGUACUUGGAUGGGUGACCGCUUGGGAAUACUAAGUGUGAUAAGCA
Ciona savignyi (Pacific transparent sea squirt) is the source of this 119-nucleotide non-coding RNA. The record is from Rfam. Lineage: Eukaryota; Metazoa; Chordata; Ascidiacea; Phlebobranchia; Cionidae.